GCUUCCAUAGCGCAGUGGCAGCGCGUCAGUCUCAUAAUCUGAAGGCCGUGAGUUCGACCCUCACUGGGAGCA
Molecule: transfer RNA, 72 nt
Filed under: Caenorhabditis brenneri
Lineage: Eukaryota; Metazoa; Nematoda; Chromadorea; Rhabditida; Rhabditidae
Description: tRNA-Met (CAT) (tRNA-Met-CAT-2-1)
Rfam family: tRNA
About the family: Transfer RNA (tRNA) molecules are approximately 80 nucleotides in length.
Source: Rfam by way of RNAcentral